Molecule: long non-coding RNA, 202 nt
Filed under: Lathyrus oleraceus (garden pea)
Lineage: Eukaryota; Viridiplantae; Streptophyta; Magnoliopsida; Fabales; Fabaceae
Description: Pisum sativum (pea) long non-coding RNA (PSAT_LNC019474)
Source: RNAcentral
GAAGCUUCUGAAGUCACCCUAACUCAUAAAAGAUCAAGAACUAGACAAAAUGUAUCUGAAGAAUUGAUUAUGGGAAACAAAGACGAACCUGCCAGAACAAGAUCAACAUUCAAGGGAUCUGAAGAAACGCUUAUGGAACUAGUAUCUCUUAUAGAGCCAACAUUUUGUGAAGAAGCACUUCAAGACAAAGAAUGGAUUCUAG